GACGAACGCUGGCGGCGUGCUUAACACAUGCAAGUCGAGCGGUAAGGCCCUUUCGGGGGUACACGAGCGGCGAACGGGUGAGUAACACGUGGGUGACCUGCCCUCAGCUCUGGGAUAAGCCUGGGAAACUGGGUCUAAUACUGGAUAUGACUCCAUGACGCAUGUUGUGGGGUGGAAAGCCUUGUGCGGCUGAGGAUGGGCCCGCGGCCUAUCAGCUUGUUGGUGGGGUGAUGGCCUACCAAGGCGACGACGGGUAGCCGGCCUGAGAGGGCGACCGGGCCACACUGGGACUGAGACACGGCCCAGACUCCUACGGGAGGCAGCAGUGGGGAAUCUUGCGCAAUGGGCGAAAGCCUGACGCAGCGACGCCGCGUGAGGGAUGACGGCCU
This 389-nucleotide ribosomal RNA is filed under the name uncultured bacterium. RNAcentral describes it as "bacterial SSU rRNA". It matches the Rfam family "Bacterial small subunit ribosomal RNA", at positions 28 to 417 of the family's 1533-position model. The record is from RNAcentral.